GGGGUCGGAACUUCGGUUCCGGCUUACGUGGCGCACGGGUGAGUAACACGUGGGAAUCUGCCCAUCUAUGGGGAAUAACUGCGGGAAACUGCAGCUAAUACCGCAUACGCCCUUCGGGGGAAAGGCUUCGGCCGUAGAUGGAUGAGCCCGCGUCCGAUUAGCUAGUUGGUGGGGUAAUGGCCUACCAAGGCGACGAUCGGUAGCUGGUCUGAGAGGAUGAUCAGCCACACUGGGACUGAGACACGGCCCAGACUCCUACGGGAGGCAGCAGUGGGGAAUAUUGGACAAUGGGCGAAAGCCUGAUCCAGCAAUGCCGCGUGAGUGAUGAAGGUCUUCGGAUUGUAAAGCUCUUUCGACGGGGAAGAUAAUGACGGUACCCGUAGAAGAAGCCCCGGCUAACUUCGUGCCAGCAGCCGCGGUAAUACGAAGGGGGCUAGCGUUGUUCGGAUUUACUGGGCGUAAAGCGUGCGUAGGCGGCUUAUCAAGUCAGAAGUGAAAGCCCGGGGCUCAACUCCGGAAUGGCUUUUGAGACUGGUAGGCUGGAGUUCGGGAGAGGGUAGUGGAAUUCCCAGUGUAGAGGUGAAAUUCGUAGAUAUUGGGAAGAACACCGGUGG
RNAcentral lists this ribosomal RNA (614 nucleotides) under uncultured bacterium. RNAcentral's name for it is "bacterial SSU rRNA". It matches the Rfam family "Bacterial small subunit ribosomal RNA", at positions 68 to 715 of the family's 1533-position model. The record is from RNAcentral.